CUCGGUGAUCAUAGGAGAAGGGUCACACCCGUUCCCAUCUCGAAUACGGCAGUUAAGCCUUCUACCGGCGAUGGUACUAACGGAGCAGUCCGUUGGGAGAGUAGCUAGUCGCCGAGA
Molecule: ribosomal RNA, 117 nt
Filed under: Candidatus Omnitrophota bacterium
Lineage: Bacteria; Pseudomonadati; Candidatus Omnitrophota
Source: RNAcentral